Molecule: ribosomal RNA, 475 nt
Filed under: uncultured bacterium
Lineage: Bacteria
Description: partial 16S ribosomal RNA
Rfam family: Bacterial small subunit ribosomal RNA
Source: RNAcentral
GAUGAACGCUGGCGGCGUGCUUAACACAUGCAAGUCAAGCGAGUGAGUUCUUCGGAACGAUCUAGCGGCGGACGGGUGAGUAACACGUGGGCAACCUGCCUCAUAGAGGGGAAUAGCCUCCCGAAAGGGAGAUUAAUACCGCAUAACAUCGUUGAAGGGCAUCCUUCGAUGAUCAAAGGAGCAAUCCGCUAUGAGAUGGGCCCGCGGCGCAUUAGCUAGUUGGUGAGGUAACGGCUCACCAAGGGGACGAUGCGUAGCCGACCUGAGAGGGUGAUCGGCCACAGUGGGACUGAGACACGGCCAGACUCCUACGGGAGGCAGCAGUGGGGAAUAUUGCACAAUGGGGGAAACCCUGAUGCAGCAACGCCGCGUGAGUGAUGACGGCCUUCGGGUUGUAAAGCUCUGUCUUUGGGGACGAUAAUGACGGUACCCAAGGAGGAAGUCACGGCUAACUACGUGCCAGCAGCCGCGGUAA